CAGUAGUCACGAGUUUGAUCAUGGCUCAGAACGAACGCUGGCGGCAGGCUUAACACAUGCAAGUCGAGCGCCCGCAAGGGAGCGGCAGACGGGUGAGUAACGCGUGGGAACAUACCCUUGGUUCGGAAUAACUCAGGGAAACUUGAGCUAAUACCGGAUACGUCCGUAAGGAGAAAGAUUUAUCGCCAAAGGAUUGGGCCCGCGUCCGAUUAGCUAGUUGGUGAGGUAACGGCUCACCAAGGCUACGAUCGGUAGCUGGUCUGAGAGGAUGAUCAGCCACAUUGGGACUGAGACACGGCCCAAACUCCUACGGGAGGCAGCAGUGGGGAAUAUUGGACAAUGGGCGCAAGCCUGAUCCAGCCAUGCCGCGUGAGUGAUGAAGGCCUUAGGGUUGUAAAGCUCUUUUGUCCGGGAAGAUAAUGACUGUACCGGAAGAAUAAGCCCCGGCUAACUUCGUG
This 458-nucleotide ribosomal RNA is filed under the name uncultured bacterium. RNAcentral describes it as "bacterial SSU rRNA". It matches the Rfam family "Bacterial small subunit ribosomal RNA", at positions 1 to 507 of the family's 1533-position model. The record is from RNAcentral.